AAAAGUGCACGAUUAAUAAAGUUAUUGGCUUCUAAAGUAGGGAGUCGACUCUGAAUCGCUGAAACGAGUUGUUAUAGGGAGUGAGUCUUCUUCCUGAUAUUAUCCACGUCACACGAACUUAUCCACGUCACAUGAGAUACUAAUCUCCGCCUACAGCCUUGCCCGGGAGAAACGAAAACCCUGCCCCCAGGAUCAAAGACGCUUCCUAGUUGGUGUGAUAACAUCAUGUCGAGGAGACAGUGUGUUUUUAGUUGUAAAGGCAAGUUUGCUUUAUUUUCACUGCCAAAAAAUGAAGACCAGAAGAAUCAGUGGUUAAAAUUCAUUUUUACCACGAUACCACAGCAGUACAACAAACCCCUUUGGUUGUGUUCCCGUCAUUUUACUGACGAUUGUUUUUCCAAUCUCUGUGAGUUCAAAGCGGGAUUUUUAAAACGUUUGACCAUGAAAGAGGGUUCAUUACCAACUUUAUAUGGACCAACAAGCAUCUCAGAACCACUACCUAGUACAUCACAACAGAUUGAGUUACCAAACAUUUUGUUUGUGGAGGUGGAAUGUCAGACUGAACCUCCACACACAAAGUCAGUAGGAACACAGACAGAACUGCCACAGAUAUCUGUUGGCACACAGCUAUCUACUGGUACACUGAAAGAAACACACAGUAGGAGCAAAGGAUCACAAGCAACAGUUUCUUUAGAAAGUGUUGGCACAGAAACCACUACAGCUCUUUAUGAUCUACCAUUUUCGUCUACACCUGUAAAGCCUACUGGAUUUCGACCACAUAAAAGACCUAGACUGGAGUUGGAGGAGGAGGAGGAAGAAGAAGGGUCAGUGAGAGAACCUCAUGACUCAACCUUUAAUCCUGGCGACUCUACAAUAUCUGAGGAAUCUGAAAUUUCGUUUGUGCAGAGGACAAUCUAUGGUGAUAACAAGUUCAUUGUGUUUGAAACCUGUCUGCGUGAGCUGUUUGCCACAUGCCCGAUUUGUAAAAACAAGUGUGAUGUGACUUUACGCCGGAUGGGUACAUAUGUGGCAUUCCACCAGCUUUGCCCCAAGUGUAGUUGCUACAGGCAAUGAGAGAGCCAGCCCACUGUUGGUAGCAUUCCGGUCGGAAACCUUCAGUUGUCUGCAGCAACGUAUUUUACCGGAGGAUCAUUCAUCCAAGUACAAAAUGUACACAUGAAGCGUUUUUUAGUACCGAUUUGCAAGGGGAUGCAGUUACAAAUUUUUACGUACGAAACCUUCCGGAGACAUUGCAGGAGCUUCCUGGAGCCUGCCAUAAUCCACAAAUGGAAAAGUGAACAACAAAACCUUUUCCAGAAGUUUAGACAGAGUGGAAAGAUUGGCCUCGCCGGAGAUAUGCAUGCAGACUCACCCGGACAUUCAGCCAAAUAUGGUAGUUACACGUUGAUGCACACAGAGAGCAACACCAUUUUGGACACACAACUUGUUCAGAGCAAUGAAGUCGGCGGGAGUUACCAUAUGGAGAAAGAAGGUCUAAAGAGAUGUCUUGAUCAUCUGGAGUCCAGUGGCUUAACAGUCGACUACAUUGUGACUGACCGUCACCCUCAGAUACAAAAAUAUUUGAGAGAACGCAACAUAACACAGUUUUACGAUUUGUAGCAUUUUGAAAAAGGUCUGUCAAAGAAGCUUGAGCAACUUUCCAAAAACAAAGAGUGUGACGUUUUGAAGAAGUGGCUUCGUAGCAUAAGGAACCAUGUAUACUGGAGUGCCAUAACUUCUACAACAGGACCAGAGAAAGUGGCUAAGUGGACAUCAAUUCUGAAUCACAUUCAGAAUGUGCAUGUACACGAGAACCCCAUCUUCCCAAAGUGUGCCCAUCCAGACCGUAUGUCCAAGAAUCCAAAGAAAUGGUUUAAUCCAGAAUCACUGGCACUCCACAAAGUUGAGAAGAUGUGGAAAAGUUAAGUCACCACUUUCAGACAUCAUCGCUGGAGGCUUUCCACAGCUUAAUUUUGAGGUUUACACCAAAAAAUGUAGUAUUCCCUUACAUGGGAAUGUUGUGCAGAUUGUACCUUGCAGUUCUACACCAUAAUGAGAACACUGGUCGAGAACAAGCAACAACUGCAACAGGGAAACCAGUCUACAAAGUGGUGUUUCCAAAGUCUAAAAAGGGAGAACCCAUUGCAAGGCCACUGAAAACAGAGGCUACAAACAAUUAUGUGGAUGACCUAAUGAGGCUCGUCUUUGAGGAGGUUGUCGUCGACCCAGCACCUUUUGUUGAGGAGCUACAGGCAAUUCCUGUUCCCAUUCCAAUUUCUGCCGAGUUCGAGAGACCCUCAAAGGAGGAAACGAUUGCCCGCCAUUUCUCCCGGUUCAGUCGAGAGGUGGCCGAAAACCGACGUAGUGACCAGCCAGAUCUGGAAACUCCUGGCGUAUCCGGGAUACAACGCAGGAAGGAAUGACCACACGGACAUGUCGACCUAAGAAGCCCCAGCACCAGCUAACAAAGCUCCGAUAUGCCAAAUGACGAAAUUGCCUAUAUUACAAAGAUAAAACAUUCUUAGUAUAUGGCAAGAAUUCAAAAUUUCUAUUUGUACAAAAAAAUAUAUCUGUUUACAUAUAAAGUUCAUUUUAUUACAA
Misgurnus anguillicaudatus (oriental weatherfish) is the source of this 2601-nucleotide non-coding RNA. Lineage: Eukaryota; Metazoa; Chordata; Actinopteri; Cypriniformes; Cobitidae. The record is from RefSeq and is a predicted model, not a curated record.